UUGCCCUAGUAACGGCGAGUGAAGCGGCAACAGCUCAAAUUUGAAAUCUGGCCUCGGCCCGAGUUGUAAUUUGUAGAGGAAGCUUUUGGCACGGCACCUGCUGAGUCCCCUGGAACGGGGCGCCAUAGAGGGUGAGAGCCCCGUAUAGCAGGACGCCUAGCCUCUGUAAAGCUCCUUCGACGAGUCGAGUAGUUUGGGAAUGCUGCUCAAAAUGGGAGGUAAAUUUCUUCUAAAGCUAAAUACCGGCCAGAGACCGAUAGCGCACAAGUAGAGUGAUCGAAAGAUGAAAAGCACUUUGAAAAGAGGGUUAAAUAGCACGUGAAAUUGUUGAAAGGGAAGCGCUUGUGACCAGACUCGCGCCGGGCUGAUCAUCCGAGCUUCUGCUCGGUGCACUCUGCCCGGCUCGGGCCAGCAUCGGUUCUCGCGGGGGGAUAAAGGCCCUGGGAACGUAGCUCCUCCGGGAGUGUUAUAGCCCGGGGUGUAAUGCCCUCGCGGGGACCGAGGACCGCGCUUCGGCAAGGAUGCUGGCGUAAUGGUCAUCAGCGACCCGUCUUGAAACACGGACCAAGGAGUCAAGGUUUUGCGCGAGUGUUUGGGUGUUAAACCCGCACGCGUAAUGAAAGUGAACGUAGGUGAGAGCUUCGGCGCAUCAUCGACCGAUCCUGAUGUAUUCGGAUGGAUUUGAGUAGGAGCGUUAAGCCUUGGACCCGAAAGAUGGUGAACUAUGCUUGGAUAGGGUGAAGCCAGAGGAAACUCUGGUGGAGGCUCGCAGCGGUUCUGACGUGCAAAUCGAUCGUCAAAUCUGAGCAUGGGGGCGAAAGACUAAUCG
This 829-nucleotide ribosomal RNA is filed under the name Cladorrhinum coprophilum. RNAcentral's name for it is "partial large subunit ribosomal RNA". It matches the Rfam family "Eukaryotic large subunit ribosomal RNA", at positions 75 to 937 of the family's 3401-position model. Lineage: Eukaryota; Fungi; Ascomycota; Sordariomycetes; Sordariales; Podosporaceae. The record is from RNAcentral.